UCAAAAUCUAUUAAAUCCCCAUGUGUGAAAUGAGGGGAAGCCCAGCUGCCUUCCCACACCUCAGCCUCCUCUGGCACAAGGGACCAGAGAACCCUUGAGGUUUGAAAGAGGUGGUUUUAGAAUGAAGGAAACCCUGCAGAACUAAUUAAUAGACUUUUCCUUGCUGCACAAUAGGAAACAGAUAAAACACAGAGGUGCAAGGAAGAGAAGAAACACAUUCGCUGAGUGCCUAGUGAGGGCCAGGCACUGUGAUGGGGGCUUCACAUGCAUGAUCUCCUGUAAUUCCCAGAACAGCUUUAUAAGGUGUAGGCUUCAGCCCCGUUUUACUCCUAAGCAAAUUGAGGCCCAAAGAAAUUAAGCUCUUUGCCUAAGAUGACAUAUGAGUAAGUGGCAGAGUUGGCUUUUGAAUCCAGGUCUAUCUGAUACCAAAGUUACAACAGGCUUCCUCCCUGCUCUGCCUGAGCAGUUCAACAGUGCUGAAUAUGAAUGUCUGGAGUUUGUAACAAAACUCAAUAAUGGCCUUUGGUUGAACUUUUUGCUAUUAACAAAACAAAACCCUAUGAAACUAAUAAAGGAUUAAUUUCUGUAAGAGGUGAGUAAAUGGACCUAACCAAAUUAAUCUGAAAAGUGGUGCCAUCCCCCAAAUAGGUAAGGUACUACAGACACUGAAUCUAUGGUUUCUCAGAACACAGACAACCCAACAAGGUGGCUUCCUGGAAAAAGUAGGAGCUCCACUGCCAAAAACCUGGGAAAUACUGCACUCAGUCUACCUUCCUCUUAACUGAUUCCCAACCUUCGUUGGCAUAUUAAAGGCUCUGAGAAAUCUUACCUGAAGAAAGCUAAUUUCUGUUUAGCCCAGGGCCUACCAGAAAAGUAUUUAAACAUGGAAUAUUUUUUUCUUCCUGUCAAAAUUCUCCUGGGACAGUGUUCCAUGGAACAAAAUGUAGAACAUUGCUCUAAAUUUCUAAAUUGCUAUGGAACUAAUGCUGAGCUUUUGGUUUCCUUGAGUGCCAGGCAAUAAUCUGGAAGAAUAAUAAAGAAACAUACAUAGAGCAAGGCAAAGCACAGUACUCGGCAUUUUAUACGCAUUACAUUACUGAUUCCUCAAAGUCACCCUCUGAAGUUGAUGCUGUGAAGAUCCCAUUUUACAGAUAAGAAAACCGAGGCCCAGAAAGGGUUAAAAGCCCAGCACUUUUACAUAGUGGAGACCAAGGCUCAAGGAGACAAAACGGACCAGCCCAAAGUCUCACAGCUGGUCAGUGUUGGAGCUGACACUUGCAUCCAGGGUGUCUGACCCAGGACCCCUUGUUUCCUCUGCAACUCCCUACCCACACUGUGAGUCACCACGGCUACGAACUGGGGAGGGUCAGAUGGUUGCGUGAAUCCCCUCCGCCCUGGUUGUCGCAUGAGUAGCAGCCAGCAGCCUGUUGAGGCCUGGGCCAGGCCCUGCGGCAGCAGAGGAACUGCACUAUUUUAAGCCAGGGCCAGCAGGCCCCAUGUGGGCACAGGGAGGGUGGCCUCGGGCCCUUGGCCAGCUUCCCGGAAGUCACCAUGGCCUCCCUCCUCUCCCCUGAACAGCUUUCUGAGGCAGUCACUUCCCAACAAACAGGAAGGAGGCCCUCAGGCCAGGAGACCUCCAGCCCCAGCUUCCUUCUCCUACCCACCCCCCCAUCUUCUCUACAUGGGGGAGCCCACCAGCUAGCUACGUGCCGUUAUCUGGACUGACUCUUAGCAGG
Molecule: long non-coding RNA, 1736 nt
Organism: Leopardus geoffroyi (Geoffroy's cat)
Lineage: Eukaryota; Metazoa; Chordata; Mammalia; Carnivora; Felidae
Exons: 2
Source: RefSeq, a predicted model, not a curated record